Molecule: transfer RNA, 71 nt
Filed under: Staphylococcus xylosus
Lineage: Bacteria; Bacillati; Bacillota; Bacilli; Caryophanales; Staphylococcaceae
Description: tRNA-Arg
Rfam family: tRNA
About the family: Transfer RNA (tRNA) molecules are approximately 80 nucleotides in length. Their secondary structure includes four short double-helical elements and three loops (D, anti-codon, and T loops). Further hydrogen bonds mediate the characteristic L-shaped molecular structure. tRNAs have two regions of fundamental functional importance: the anti-codon, which is responsible for specific mRNA codon recognition, and the 3' end, to which the tRNAs corresponding amino acid is attached (by aminoacyl-tRNA synthetases). tRNAs cope with the degeneracy of the genetic code in two manners: having more than one tRNA (with a specific anti-codon) for a particular amino acid; and 'wobble' base-pairing, i.e. permitting non-standard base-pairing at the 3rd anti-codon position.
Source: RNAcentral
GCGCCCAUAGCUCAACUGGAUAUACUUGACUACGAAUCAAGAGGUUAUAGGUUCGACCCCUAUUGGGCGCA